RNAcentral lists this long non-coding RNA (744 nucleotides) under Fukomys damarensis (Damara mole-rat). RNAcentral describes it as "lncRNA (ENSFDAG00000033434.1)". The record is from RNAcentral. Lineage: Eukaryota; Metazoa; Chordata; Mammalia; Rodentia; Bathyergidae.
AUGGAAUGUGAAAGAAGUCUUUCUAUGUCACCUGAGAGGCUCACAGAGACCUGCCUGCCUCCCUCAUCAUGUUUGGGUCACAAUUCUAUCAUAUCAGUCUCCAGGACAAUAGAUUCUGCUACAGUCCUGCCUCCUCUGGAAUACAAAACACCACAGGCGCCCUCCCUGGUCCCCCUCACACUUCCUGGUCACCAUGAGGUGAGCAGCUUUCCUCCUCCAGACCCUUCCUCUUUUCCAUUUCUACCUUGAAGCCAGCUGAGUGGACUGAAACCUCUAAAACCAGCCCAAAUAAACCUCACCUGCUUUAAGUUAUGUGUGUUAGGCACUGUGCCCCAGCAAUAAGAAAGUGACUAAGACAGGUGGGUUCCCACGUCCUUAUAAGAAGAGGAGAGAAUCCAAGAUGCAGGCAUCCUAGAGGAAAAGUUAGCCAUGUGACAGAGAGAAGAGCCUGAAGAACUAACUGCAGGGAAAACCAGGGGUGCCAAAGGCCACCAGCACACAGCAGAUGCUAGGAGAAAAGGACACGAUUUCAUCACCCCUAGGCCCUUUCCAGAAAGUCCUACUGACACCCUGAUCAGAACAGUACAGCAUGCAGUUCUGUCCCAGCAGUGGUACUUAGCCUUGUGGUACUUAGUGAAAGCAGCCCUUGGAAAUUAAUUCUCUGCUCCAGGAAGCUGCUUCCGAGGCGAUAUUUGCUGAGAGCUCCAGCUCCCAGAGAAAUAAAGCCAGCACAGAUGACAAAGC